RNAcentral lists this ribosomal RNA (468 nucleotides) under uncultured bacterium. RNAcentral describes it as "partial 16S ribosomal RNA". It matches the Rfam family "Bacterial small subunit ribosomal RNA", at positions 28 to 507 of the family's 1533-position model. The record is from RNAcentral.
GACGAACGCUGGCGGCGUGCCUAAUACAUGCAAGUCGAACGGAAAGGCGCUGAUCUUGUUGGUCUCGCGUGUGUCGAACGCGUGUGUAUCACGCGUGUAUACCGUCCCUGACUUUGGGGUAUCUCUAGGAAACUCGGGAUCUAAUCGGGUAUGAGCUCCUGCUGCACGUUGGGUGUUGGUAAGUUGCGGCGUUUUGGGAUGGAAGGGCGGAUUAUCAUCUUGUUGGUGGGGUAGUGGCGUACCAAGGCUCUGACGGGUAGCCGCACUGGGAGGGUGACAGGCCACAUUGGGACUGAGAUAGGGCCCAGACGGCUACGGGAGGAAGGGGUGGAAAAUAUUGCACAAUAGGCGGAAGCCUGAUGCAGCAACGUCGCGUGCGGGAUGACGGCCUUCGGGUUGUAAACCGCUUUCGCCUGUGACGAACCGUGAGUGACGGUAAUGGGUCAGGAAGCACCGGCUAACUACGUG